Molecule: ribosomal RNA, 1787 nt
Filed under: Escherichia coli
Lineage: Bacteria; Pseudomonadati; Pseudomonadota; Gammaproteobacteria; Enterobacterales; Enterobacteriaceae
Description: partial 23S ribosomal RNA
Rfam family: Bacterial large subunit ribosomal RNA
Source: RNAcentral
CCAGACCGCCAGCUAAGGUCCCAAAGUCAUGGUUAAGUGGGAAACGAUGUGGGAAGGCCCAGACAGCCAGGAUGUUGGCUUAGAAGCAGCCAUCAUUUAAAGAAAGCGUAAUAGCUCACUGGUCGAGUCGGCCUGCGCGGAAGAUGUAACGGGGCUAAACCAUGCACCGAAGCUGCGGCAGCGACACUAUGUGUUGUUGGGUAGGGGAGCGUUCUGUAAGCCUGUGAAGGUGGCCUGUGAGGGUUGCUGGAGGUAUCAGAAGUGCGAAUGCUGACAUAAGUAACGAUAAAGCGGGUGAAAAGCCCGCUCGCCGGAAGACCAAGGGUUCCUGUCCAACGUUAAUCGGGGCAGGGUGAGUCGACCCCUAAGGCGAGGCCGAAAGGCGUAGUCGAUGGGAAACAGGUUAAUAUUCCUGUACUUGGUGUUACUGCGAAGGGGGGACGGAGAAGGCUAUGUUGGCCGGGCGACGGUUGUCCCGGUUUAAGCGUGUAGGCUGGUUUUCCAGGCAAAUCCGGAAAACCAAGGCUGAGGCGUGAUGACGAGGCACUACGGUGCUGAAGCGACAAAUGCCCUGCUUCCAGGAAAAGCCUCUAAGCAUCAGGUAACAUCAAAUCGUACCCCAAACCGACACAGGUGGUCAGGUAGAGAAUACCAAGGCGCUUGAGAGAACUCGGGUGAAGGAACUAGGCAAAAUGGUGCCGUAACUUCGGGAGAAGGCACGCUGAUAUGUAGGUGAAGCGACUUGCUCGUGGAGCUGAAAUCAGUCGAAGAUACCAGCUGGCUGCAACUGUUUAUUAAAAACACAGCACUGUGCAAACACGAAAGUGGACGUAUACGGUGUGACGCCUGCCCGGUGCCGGAAGGUUAAUUGAUGGGGUUAGCGGCAACGCGAAGCUCUUGAUCGAAGCCCCGGUAAACGGCGGCCGUAACUAUAACGGUCCUAAGGUAGCGAAAUUCCUUGUCGGGUAAGUUCCGACCUGCACGAAUGGCGUAAUGAUGGCCAGGCUGUCUCCACCCGAGACUCAGUGAAAUUGAACUCGCUGUGAAGAUGCAGUGUACCCGCGGCAAGACGGAAAGACCCCGUGAACCUUUACUAUAGCUUGACACUGAACAUUGAGCCUUGAUGUGUAGGAUAGGUGGGAGGCUUUGAAGUGUGGACGCCAGUCUGCAUGGAGCCGACCUUGAAAUACCACCCUUUAAUGUUUGAUGUUCUAACGUUGGCCCGUAAUCCGGGUUGCGGACAGUGUCUGGUGGGUAGUUUGACUGGGGCGGUCUCCUCCUAAAGAGUAACGGAGGAGCACGAAGGUUGGCUAAUCCUGGUCGGACAUCAGGAGGUUAGUGCAAUGGCAUAAGCCAGCUUGACUGCGAGCGUGACGGCGCGAGCAGGUGCGAAAGCAGGUCAUAGUGAUCCGGUGGUUCUGAAUGGAAGGGCCAUCGCUCAACGGAUAAAAGGUACUCCGGGGAUAACAGGCUGAUACCGCCCAAGAGUUCAUAUCGACGGCGGUGUUUGGCACCUCGAUGUCGGCUCAUCACAUCCUGGGGCUGAAGUAGGUCCCAAGGGUAUGGCUGUUCGCCAUUUAAAGUGGUACGCGAGCUGGGUUUAGAACGUCGUGAGACAGUUCGGUCCCUAUCUGCCGUGGGCGCUGGAGAACUGAGGGGGGCUGCUCCUAGUACGAGAGGACCGGAGUGGACGCAUCACUGGUGUUCGGGUUGUCAUGCCAAUGGCACUGCCCGGUAGCUAAAUGCGGAAGAGAUAAGUGCUGAAAGCAUCUAAGCACGAAACUUGC